UGGGGAAUAUUGGACAAUGGGCGAAAGCCUGAUCCAGCCAUGCCGCGUGUGUGAAGAAGGUCUUCGGAUUGUAAAGCACUUUAAGUUGGGAGGAAGGGCAGUAAGCGAAUACCUUGCUGUUUUGACGUUACCGACAGAAUAAGCACCGGCUAACUCUGUGCCAGCAGCCGCGGUAAUACAGAGGGUGCAAGCGUUAAUCGGAAUUACUUGGCGUAAAGCGCGCGUAGGUGGUUCGUUAAGUUGAAUGUGAAAGCCCCGGGCUCAACCUGGGAACUGCAUCCAAAACUGGCGAGCUAGGGUAGGGCAGAGGGUGGUGGAAUUUCCUGUGUAGCGGUGAAAUGCGUAGGUAUAGGAAGGAACACCAGUGGCGAAGGCGACCACCUGGGCUCAUACUGACACUGAGGUGCGAAAGCGUGGGGAGCAAACAGG
RNAcentral lists this ribosomal RNA (429 nucleotides) under Pseudomonadota bacterium. RNAcentral describes it as "Proteobacteria bacterium partial 16S ribosomal RNA". It matches the Rfam family "Bacterial small subunit ribosomal RNA", at positions 355 to 776 of the family's 1533-position model. The record is from RNAcentral. Lineage: Bacteria; Pseudomonadati; Pseudomonadota.